This 366-nucleotide long non-coding RNA is filed under the name Coffea arabica (coffee). RNAcentral describes it as "long non-coding RNA (CARA_LNC008406)". Lineage: Eukaryota; Viridiplantae; Streptophyta; Magnoliopsida; Gentianales; Rubiaceae. The record is from RNAcentral.
GUCGAUUUUGAAUAAAUCGUCAAUUCAUUUGACCAAUCUACCCUUUUUAGGGUCAUCCGGUCGAUUUUUAAUAAAUUGUCAAUUUCAUUUGACCAAUUAAGGUUUCAAUGUCGAAUUUCAAAAUGGAAAACCUAGUCGAUUUUGAGAAAAACAUCCAUUGCAUCCAGCCAUUUGAUCAGUUGGAGUUUUGACCCGUGCUUCACUGAGAAAAGUUGUCAAAACGAAUUCCAAUCUCUUUGAUAGGAAGUUCGUCAACGUCAAACCCGUACGUUUUUCGCAAAUUCUUGUAUCGAUCAAAAGUGAUCAAUCCCUUCGGACGAGGUCCUCAUUUUGACCAACGUCUCUUCUCAUUCCAAUGGGCCAAAU